UACGAAGGGGGCUAGCGUUGCUCAGAAUUACUGGGCGUAAAGGGAGCGUAGGCGGACAUUUAAGUCAGAGGUGAAAUCCCGGAGCUUAACUUCGGAACUGCCUUUGAUACUGGGUGUCUUGAGUGUGAGAGAGGUAUGUGGAACUCCGAGUGUAGAGGUGAAAUUCGUAGAUAUUCGGAAGAACACCAGUGGCGAAGGCGACAUACUGGCUCAUUACUGACGCUGAGGCUCGAAAGCGUGGGGAGCAAACAGG
This 253-nucleotide ribosomal RNA is filed under the name uncultured bacterium. RNAcentral describes it as "partial 16S ribosomal RNA". It matches the Rfam family "Bacterial small subunit ribosomal RNA", at positions 524 to 776 of the family's 1533-position model. The record is from RNAcentral.